RNAcentral lists this ribosomal RNA (451 nucleotides) under uncultured organism. Its description in RNAcentral is "partial 16S ribosomal RNA". It matches the Rfam family "Bacterial small subunit ribosomal RNA", at positions 329 to 797 of the family's 1533-position model. The record is from RNAcentral.
ACGUACACUCCUGCGGGAGGCAGCAGUGGGGAAUAUUGGACAAUGGGCGCAAGCCUGAUCCAGCCAUGCCGCGUGAGUGAUGAAGGCCCUAGGGUUGUAAAGCUCUUUCACCGGAGAAGAUAAUGACGGUAUCCGGAGAAGAAGCCCCGGCUAACUUCGUGCCAGCAGCCGCGGUAAUACGAAGGGGGCUAGCGUUGUUCGGAAUUACUGGGCGUAAAGCGCACGUAGGCGGAUCGAUCAGUCAGGGGUGAAAUCCCAGGGCUCAACCCUGGAACUGCCUUUGAUACUGUCGAUCUGGAGUAUGGAAGAGGUGAGUGGAAUUCCGAGUGUAGAGGUGAAAUUCGUAGAUAUUCGGAGGAACACCAGUGGCGAAGGCGGCUCACUGGUCCAUUACUGACGCUGAGGUGCGAAAGCGUGGGGAGCAAACAGGAUUAGAUACCCGGGUAGUCCC